This 33-nucleotide non-coding RNA is filed under the name unclassified sequences. The record is from Rfam.
GAUUACAUAUCAUCCUCUCUGUAAUCGCGGCUG